CUUCUCUCACACAGACACACCCUUCUGCCUCUCUCUCGAUCUCCCUACACUCCGGCAACUGGAGCCGAAGUCCGGCGAGCUCCGGUGACCCCCCUUCUUCACUCCGAUUAAGCACCACCAUCACCAUCACCCUCCUCCUCCCUCUUUCAAGCUCGCACCUGAACAAACCACCUCCACUGGUCUCUUCAGCCAGCGCCCGACACCACUGUUGGUGGCGGCGGCGGCGGCUUAACGACAGCGGCGGCAACAGGUUCCUCUCCCAACAAACCACUCCCACAGCUCGUCUUUCCCUCUCUUCCCGAUACACGACAGCGGCAAACCACGAAGACGUCGCCGGGAACCGCAAGCUUUUGUUUCGGUUAAUCGCUCUCGUUCAUUCUCUUGGAAUUCUCAAUCCUUACUUGUGCGUUACUUUCAAGAAAUCGCAAAGCAAUUUUGUUGAUGAUGAUGCUAUAAAAGAAGUAGCGUUGAUGCCUAGA
Helianthus annuus (common sunflower) is the source of this 479-nucleotide long non-coding RNA. RefSeq lists it as uncharacterized. The transcript is spliced from 3 exons. Lineage: Eukaryota; Viridiplantae; Streptophyta; Magnoliopsida; Asterales; Asteraceae. The record is from RefSeq and is a predicted model, not a curated record.